AUGUCCAACGCUGCUGCGACUGCCGUCGGUGCCACAGGCGGCGACGAGCCGUCGCUCACCGCGUCGACCAUCGACGCCCAGGCCGUCGGAUCCCACGUCCUCCGCAUCAAUGGCUACUCCCACACCAUGGGGCUCGGCACCGGCAAGUUCAUCACGUCGGAGAGUUUUACCGUCGGGGGGCAUCGUUGUGAUGUCGACGAAGUCAAAGCAAAAUUCAGAAUUAGUUUGCUCGACCAGGCGGGCAACCCUGUGCGGUCUAACAUCCCUGACGGCGGUCCGACGACGUUCUCCCGCAGGCAAGGUGGUCAUGCUGAAUGGGGUGUCGGUACUCUCAUCUAUAGGAUGGACCUGGAGAGAUCAGAUUACCUUAAGGACGAUGUUUUCAGCAUCAGUACGUUUCACGGAGUACGCUGGCAACGUCCAGGCCUAUCUGGCUAUGCCAUCAUCGAGCAGCGGGAGAAGCACUCCCACUGCAUAUGCCUCAAGUCUUCAUCUGCCUCUGACCUGCACACGAGACGAUUUGUCCUUUUUUAA
RNAcentral lists this ribosomal RNA (534 nucleotides) under Triticum aestivum (bread wheat). RNAcentral describes it as "partial small subunit ribosomal RNA". The record is from RNAcentral. Lineage: Eukaryota; Viridiplantae; Streptophyta; Magnoliopsida; Poales; Poaceae.